Molecule: small nucleolar RNA, 129 nt
Organism: Polyodon spathula (Mississippi paddlefish)
Lineage: Eukaryota; Metazoa; Chordata; Actinopteri; Acipenseriformes; Polyodontidae
Product: small nucleolar RNA SNORA63
Exons: 1
Source: RefSeq, a predicted model, not a curated record
AUGCAGGUUAAGUUACAAUAUGGCUGCGAAGUGCUCUAUUGUCGUUCCCCCUGCGGAAAUUAACUCGUUUUUAUACUAUCCCUGGCUGUCUUGUUCCAACGACUGACAGGGACGCUUGAUCACGAACAC